CCUGAUUCCCUAGGUUCCUUAAGGAAUUAGUUGAUUCUCUUCAAAAGUCAUUUGCCCAAGCGAAUUGGUCAAGAAUAUCUCAAAUGUCAUUCUUUAAAAGUGAACUUGGAGAACAAAGUACAAACUUUUAGAACUCCUGGCAAUUGAUUUCUUCUGCUUAAAAACCUGAAAAAGUUGGCAGAAGGAAAACAAAUUUGAAGUUCAGCCAGUUCACCAGAGAACAAGUACUUACCAAUUCAGAUUUCUUUUUAUAUAAGACCCAAUUCAGAACUCGCAUUGCUCGAUCUUCACACAAUAACCAAUCUCUGUUCUCAUUCAAAGCCUACUUUAGCUGGAGAGUGGUGAUCAUAGACAUGAAAGGGUUAAGAAUUGUAUCUUUUGUCACAAGAAAGUAUCAGUGAUACUUUACUACUCCAGAUUCCAACUAUUCAAUCUUCACCUUUUUUCUAAACUUCGUUAUCAACUCAACAUGCCAGCUUGAUUCUCACAAAUUGUCAGCAGUUUUUAUAUGUACUAGUAUAAGAGUUCCACUGUUCCUCUAUCAUUCUCUUGCCCAGCAAAGCAUAAAUCUUGUUCACCAUAUAGGCCCAAAAUCGCUCUCUCAUUCCUAGUUUCUAAAUUACACUGAAACAAUACAAAAUCCAUCAGGCUCUCGUAAGAGGACUUUCAUUUGGUUUGAAUGGACAAUGGCAACAUCACAUGAUGCCGCUUGUUGCUCAGAAGAUCUCAAUCGCCAAUCAACAUUAGAAAUAGCCUUGUAAACACUCUUGAGGAAACGAUAUCUAUUUGUCAAGGGUAAUGGUUCAGUUUGUGCAGCCAGAAUAAAAUGGUAUAGCAUGAACUAAAUAUUUCAAACCCAAUACAUUUUCAAAAUAUAUCUGCACUUCUGGCCACAACAUCUCCAAUCUCUUUUUUUGAGUCGACAGAUUUCACAUAACUAUCGAUCCAAAUCACUUUUUAUACAAGUGCAUCACCAAUCAAAAGAGCCAAGUCCUCGGCAAUAUUUCUGUAUGAAAUUCUUGAUCUAAAAUGUCGUCCGAGCUACAAAGUUAAUAAAUGCAGAAGAUCGGUGUAUUCAUAUCAAAAUUCUUAAAUCAUCACGAUCAUAAAGGCUUUCUGCCACAUACGAUAUCUAGUCCAACUGCCGAUCCAAAAUAAAGAUGUUUGUCACCUAUGAACUCCCAGACUACUCAUUCACCAUUCAAUGCCCAAAUUGAAUGAAAAUCAUGCAAGCAAGAAAAGCAAAUAGCCAGAGUAAAACACACAACAUUUGCACAAACAAGGGAAAUGUAGUCAAUCUAUUAGGGGAAGUAGUCAAGUUUUCGGAAUAAUUUAUUAUCUCGCUAUUGAGAAGGCUAAUGUAGCCAUAAAACUAUACUUUAAAAAUAACGUAGUCAGUGGAAGCAGAAGCAAAAAACAAUCACUUACAUAAACUGUGAAAACAACAGCAGAGAUCAUGAUUGACCACCCCCAGUCACCAGCAAAAUCAUCCACCAUUUUCCUCGC
Molecule: long non-coding RNA, 1506 nt
Filed under: Nicotiana benthamiana
Lineage: Eukaryota; Viridiplantae; Streptophyta; Magnoliopsida; Solanales; Solanaceae
Description: long non-coding RNA (NBEN_LNC003807)
Source: RNAcentral